GACGAACGCUGGCGGCGUGGAUUAGGCAUGCAAGUCGAACGGUAUCAUCCUUUCGGGGGUGAGAGAGUGGCGAACUGGUGAGUAACACGUAGGUUAUCUACCCUCAAGACGGGGACAACCCAGGGAAACUUGGGCUAAUACCGGAUGUGAGCAACUUUUAGUUGUUUGAAAGGUGGCGUAAGCUGUCGCUUGGGGAUGAGCCUGCGUCCUAUUAGUUAGUUGGUGAGGUAACGGCUCACCUAGGCAAUGAUAGGUAGGCGGCCUUAACGGGUGGUCGCCCACACUGGGAUUGAGAUACGGCCCAGACUCCUACGGGAGCAGCAGUCGAGAAUAGUCUACAAUGGUCGGAAGACUGAUAGUGCGACGCCGCGUGAACGAUGAAUCCCUUCGGGGUGUAAAGUUCUUUUAUAUGUGAGCAGUGCUUCUUAUAUUAACAGUAUGGGGAGAGAGAUAUUAGCAUAUGAAUAAGCAAACGGCUAAACUCCGUGCCCAGCAGCCGCGGUAAGA
This 507-nucleotide ribosomal RNA is filed under the name uncultured bacterium. RNAcentral's name for it is "bacterial SSU rRNA". It matches the Rfam family "Bacterial small subunit ribosomal RNA", at positions 28 to 525 of the family's 1533-position model. The record is from RNAcentral.